RNAcentral lists this ribosomal RNA (455 nucleotides) under uncultured organism. RNAcentral describes it as "partial 16S ribosomal RNA". It matches the Rfam family "Bacterial small subunit ribosomal RNA", at positions 329 to 800 of the family's 1533-position model. The record is from RNAcentral.
ACGUACACUCCUGCGGGAGGCAGCAGUGGGGAAUAUUGGACAAUGGGCGCAAGCCUGAUCCAGCCAUGCCGCGUGAGUGAUGAAGGCCCUAGGGUUGUAAAGCUCUUUCACCGGUGAAGAUAAUGACGGUAACCGGAGAAGAAGCCCCGGCUAACUUCGUGCCAGCAGCCGCGGUAAUACGAAGGGGGCUAGCGUUGUUCGGAUUUACUGGGCGUAAAGCGCACGUAGGCGGACUAUUAAGUCAGGGGUGAAAUCCCGGGGCUCAACCCCGGAACUGCCUUUGAUACUGGUAGUCUUGAGUUCGAGAGAGGUGAGUGGAAAUCCGAGUGUAGAGGUUAAAUUCGUAGAUAUUCGGAGGAACACCAGUGGCGAAGGCGGCUCACUGGCUCGAUACUGACGCUGAGGUGCGAAAGCGUGGGGAGCAAACAGGAUUAGAUACCCCUGUAGUCCCAUGA